RNAcentral lists this ribosomal RNA (429 nucleotides) under Gemmatimonadota bacterium. RNAcentral describes it as "Gemmatimonadetes bacterium partial 16S ribosomal RNA". It matches the Rfam family "Bacterial small subunit ribosomal RNA", at positions 355 to 776 of the family's 1533-position model. The record is from RNAcentral. Lineage: Bacteria; Pseudomonadati; Gemmatimonadota.
UAGGGAAUCUUCGGCAAUGGACGAAAGUCUGACCGAGCAACGCCGCGUGAGUGAAGAAGGUUUUCGGAUCGUAAAACUCUGUUGUUAGAGAAGAACAAGGACGUUAGUAACUGAACGUCCCCUGACGGUAUCUAACCAGAAAGCCACGGCUAACUACGUGCCAGCAGCCGCGGUAAUACGUAGGUUGCAAGCGUUGUCCGGAUUUAUUGUGCGUAAAGCGAGCGCAGGCGGUUUCUUAAGUCUGAUGUGAAAGCCACCGGCUCAACCGGGGAGGGUCAUUGGACAAUGGGAGACUUGAGUAAAGAAGAGAAGAGUGGAGUUCCAUGUGUAGCGAUGAAAAGCGUAGAUAUAUGGUAGAAAACCAGUGGCAAAGGCGGCUCUCUGAUCUGUAACUAAAGCUGAGGCUCAAAAACGUGGGGAGCAAACAGU